GCGGUGCAUUAGCUAGUUGGCAAGGUAAAGGCUUACCAAGGGCGAUGAUGCAUAGCCCGAGUUGAGAGACUGAUCGGCCACAUUGGGGACUGAGACACAGCCCAAACUCCUACGGGAGGCAGCAGUAGGGAAUCUUCCACAAUGGACGCAAGUCUGAUGGAGCAAACGCCGCGUGAGUGAAGAAGGUUUUCGGAUCGUAAAAAGCUCUGUUGUUGGUGAAGAAGGAUAGAGGUAGUAACUGGCCCUUUAUUUGACGGUAAUCAACCCAGAAAGUCGCGGGCUAACUACGUGCCCAGCAGCCGCGGUAAAU
RNAcentral lists this ribosomal RNA (310 nucleotides) under uncultured Lactobacillus sp. Its description in RNAcentral is "bacterial SSU rRNA". It matches the Rfam family "Bacterial small subunit ribosomal RNA", at positions 233 to 525 of the family's 1533-position model. Lineage: Bacteria; Bacillati; Bacillota; Bacilli; Lactobacillales; Lactobacillaceae. The record is from RNAcentral.